This is a non-coding RNA of Octopus bimaculoides (California two-spot octopus), 106 nucleotides long. The record is from Rfam. Lineage: Eukaryota; Metazoa; Mollusca; Cephalopoda; Octopoda; Octopodidae.
GUAUUGCUUCAGCAAUACAUAUACUAAAACUGGAACAAUACAGAGAAGAUUAGCAUGGCCCCUGCACAAGGAUGGCAUACAAAUUUGUGAAGUGUUCCACAUUUUC